Long non-coding RNA from Manis javanica (Malayan pangolin), 534 nucleotides. RefSeq lists it as uncharacterized. The record is from RefSeq and is a predicted model, not a curated record. NCBI's taxonomy places the organism in Eukaryota, Metazoa, Chordata, Mammalia, Pholidota, Manidae.
CAGCUGCAGAGGGGCAAGUGGGGAAGAGGGGUCCUGCUUCCUUCCUGGCUUUGCACUGGACUUGCUGGCCAGCAGGAAGGCAUGUGGUUCAUGCUUGUCCGCAUUCCCUCACGCUGUGCCCCAGGGGCCAGCUUCAGGGAAGGCAGCCCUUUGGGCCCAACUAUCCUGCAACAAGUCCCGGGGUCCAGCUCCAGACACUUCUUCUGGGAAGCCUUCCUGACCCCCUUCAUCUCCUGCUCUGACCAUCCACUCUUUCCAAGGUGAUACCUGCCCAUGUCUGUGCUGCAGAGUCCACUCCCCCAGCAGGCACGUUUAGUGAUCGUCGUGUUGGAGGAAUCCUCGCAGUGUUUGGCAACCAGAGCUCUCGUUUGGGGCUGCCCAGGUCCCGCUGUCAAGUCAUGCAUCACUUUACUAAAGAUGAGAUGUGGAUUUGGGGCAUUUUUCUUUUGAAAAAUCAAUAACUCAUUAACAAGGGACUGAAUAAAGGGGGAAAUGAAAGCCACUUGCCAUUCCUGUCGGUCAGCAGGGGGCAGA